GAGUACGACCCACUGCUUAGUAUAUGCACGUGCUUCGGUGCGAGCAAUAUACAUUAAACUAUAGAGACCGCUGUUUCUUCUUUAAACCAGAGGAAGGAUACGGCAAUAACAGGUCUGUGAUGCCCUCAGAUGUUCCGGGCUGCACACGUGCUACAAUGAUCAUUGCACUGUGCAUCUAACCCAAUGUGCGUGGACGCCGCAUGCAUGUACUCCUUGUGGGUACACGCAUUGCUGAGCGACCACGCCGAACCUACUUCGAAAGUAAAAUUUCUCUGUGGGUAAUCCAUUAGAAGUAAUGACUCGCAUAGACCAUGGCACACCAAAUGUACGCGCAGGUCUACCCGGCUCGCCUUUGUGUGAGUGCAGUGCGUAGCUUGUUGUUUCGUACGUGCCACUCCGUAUUAAUUCGUACGUGGGGAUAGAUCAUUGUUUAAUUGUUGGUCUCGGUCUUAACUAGGAAUGCCUUGUACGGGUCUCUGGUUCAACAUACCACCCGGAAUACGUCCCUGCCCUUUGUACACACCGCCCGUCGCUCUUACCGAUGGAUUA
This 549-nucleotide ribosomal RNA is filed under the name Ammonia sp. T2B. RNAcentral's name for it is "SSU rRNA". It matches the Rfam family "Eukaryotic small subunit ribosomal RNA", at positions 1358 to 1695 of the family's 1831-position model. The record is from RNAcentral. Lineage: Eukaryota; Foraminifera; Rotaliida; Rotaliidae.